GUGGAUUAGAUACCCUGGUAGUCCACGCCCUAAACGAUGUCUACUAGUUGUUGGGUCUUAAUUGACUUAGUAACGCAGCUAACGCGUGAAGUAGACCGCCUGGGGAGUACGGUCGCAAGAUUAAAACUCAAAGGAAUUGACGGGGACCCGCACAAGCGGUGGAUGAUGUGGAUUAAUUCGAUGCAACGCGAAAAACCUUACCUACCCUUGACAUGGCAGGAAUCCCGGAGAGAUUUGGGAGUGCUCGAAAGAGAACCUGCACACAGGUGCUGCACGGCCGUCGUCAGCU
This 289-nucleotide ribosomal RNA is filed under the name uncultured bacterium. Its description in RNAcentral is "partial 16S ribosomal RNA". It matches the Rfam family "Bacterial small subunit ribosomal RNA", at positions 773 to 1060 of the family's 1533-position model. The record is from RNAcentral.